AGCGAACAUUGGCGGUAGGCUUAACACAUGCAAGUCGAGCGAGGCGUAAUAGUCGAGCGGCGAACGGGUGCGUAAUACAUGGGAAUCUACCCUGAAGUGGGGGAUAACGUUCAGAAAUGGACGCUAAUACCGCAUAAUCCACAUUGGGAAAGCGUUGCAGCGCUUUAGGAUGAGCCCAUGGCUGAUUAGCUAGUUGGUGAGGUAAUGGCUCACCAGGGCGACGAUCAGUAGCUGGUCUGAGAGGAUGACCAGCCACACUGGAACUGAGACACGGUCCAGACUCCUACGGGAGGCAGCAGUGGGGAAUCUUGCGCAAUGGGGGCAACCCUGACGCAGCCAUACCGCGUGAGUGAUGAAGGUCUUCGGAUUGUAAAGCUCUUUCGGCGGGGACGACGAUGACGGUACCCGCAAAAGAAGUCACGGCUAACUUCGUGCCAGCCGCCGCGGUAA
RNAcentral lists this ribosomal RNA (450 nucleotides) under uncultured bacterium. RNAcentral describes it as "partial 16S ribosomal RNA". It matches the Rfam family "Bacterial small subunit ribosomal RNA", at positions 29 to 523 of the family's 1533-position model. The record is from RNAcentral.